RNAcentral lists this long non-coding RNA (486 nucleotides) under Ananas comosus (pineapple). Its description in RNAcentral is "long non-coding RNA (ACOM_LNC005405)". Lineage: Eukaryota; Viridiplantae; Streptophyta; Magnoliopsida; Poales; Bromeliaceae. The record is from RNAcentral.
GGAAAGUUUGUUCAAAGUAUAGCAGUUAAAGCAGUAGAGAGAUUGAAAGGUCAAAAUUGAACGAUGUCUUAAAAAUGAAUGAUCGGAUCCUUCAAUUUAAAAUUGAAGUUAUUGAUCUUUAUCUAGAUAAUGAAUAGAAUUUUCUAUCAAAAAUUCAACCUAUUCGGAUUCUUUUGCACCAUUAAACUAGCAAGUAUUCCAUACCGACCGUUCAAAAUUAUCAAUUUUGUGAGCUUUUGAUCAUAAGGUAAAUGAUGUCGAAAAAUUAUGAAAUUUGAUUUUUAGAUGUUUCAAAUGCUCUAGAUAACGUUUAACGGUGUGGAUCGUCGAUUCGGAAGCUCUAUCAUCAAAAACAACUUAUGAGUACAAGGGUGAUCGUACUCAUAAGAGUAUAGUAGCUGGACCCUCUCUCUCUCUCUCUCUCUCUCUCUCUCUCUCUAUAUAUAUAUAUAUAUAUAUAUAUAUAUAUAUAUAUAUAUUUACUUC